CGGAAGAUAAAGUGGAUUAGCGGCGGACGGGUGAGUAACACGUGGGUAACCUGCCUUAGACAUUGGGAUAGCCUCGGGAAACCGGGAUUAAUACCAAAUAAAAUUAUAAUGACACAUGUCAUAACGAUCAAAACUCCGGUGGUCUAAGAUGGACUCGCGUCCCAUUAGCUAGUUGGUAGAGUAAAAGCCUACCAAGGCGACGAUGGGUAGCCGGCCUGAGAGGGUGAACGGCCACAUUGGAACUGAGAAACGGUCCAA
RNAcentral lists this ribosomal RNA (258 nucleotides) under uncultured Eubacteriales bacterium. Its description in RNAcentral is "uncultured Clostridiales bacterium partial 16S ribosomal RNA". It matches the Rfam family "Bacterial small subunit ribosomal RNA", at positions 78 to 334 of the family's 1533-position model. The record is from RNAcentral. Lineage: Bacteria; Bacillati; Bacillota; Clostridia; Eubacteriales.